RNAcentral lists this ribosomal RNA (497 nucleotides) under uncultured bacterium. RNAcentral's name for it is "partial 16S ribosomal RNA". It matches the Rfam family "Bacterial small subunit ribosomal RNA", at positions 28 to 507 of the family's 1533-position model. The record is from RNAcentral.
GAUGAGCGCUGGCGGCGUGCCUAAUACAUGCAAGUCGAGCGAACGGACGAGAAGCUUGCUUCUCUGAUGUUAGCGGCGGACGGGUGAGUAACACGUGGAUAACCUACCUAUAAGACUGGGAUAACUUCGGGAAACCGGAGCUAAUACCGGAUAAUAUUUUGAACCGCAUGGUUCAAAAGUGAAAGACGGUCUUGCUGUCACUUAUAGAUGGAUCCGCGCUGCAUUAGCUAGUUGGUAAGGUAACGGCUUACCAAGGCAACGAUGCAUAGCCGACCUGAGAGGGUGAUCGGCCACACUGGAACUGAGACACGGUCCAGACUCCUACGGGAGGCAGCAGUAGGGAAUCUUCCGCAAUGGGCGAAAGCCUGACGGAGCAACGCCGCGUGAGUGAUGAAGGUCUUCGGAUCGUAAAACUCUGUUAUUAGGGAAGAACAUAUGUGUAAGUAACUGUGUACAUCUUGACGGUACCUAAUCAGAAAGCCACGGCUAACUACGUG